UUCCGGUUGAUCCCGCCGGACCUGACUGCUAUCGGAUUGAUACUAAGCCAUGCGAGUCAUUGUAGCAAUACAAGGCAGACGGCUCAGUAACGCGUAGUCAACCUAACCUAUGGACGGGAAUAACCUCGGGAAACUGAGAAUAAUGCCCGAUAGAACACUAUACCUGGAAUGGUUUGUGUUCCAAAUGAUUUAUCGCCAUAGGAUGGGACUGCGGCCUAUCAGUUUGUUGGUGAGGUAAUGGCCCACCAAGACUAUUACAGGUACGGGCUCUGAGAGGAGUAGCCCGGAGAUGGGUACUGAGACACGGACCCAGGCCCUAUGGGGCGCAGCAGGCGAGAAAACUUUGCAAUGUGCGAAAGCACGACAAGGUUAAUCCGAGUGAUUUGUGCUAAACGAAUCUUUUGUUAGUCCUAGAAACACUAACGAAUAAGGGGUGGGCAAGUUCUGGUGUCAGCCGCCGCGGUAAAACCAGCACCUCAAGUGGUCAGGAUGAUUAUUGGGCCUAAAGCAUCCGUAGCCGGCUCUGUAAGUUUUCGGUUAAAUCUGUACGCUCAACGUACAGGCUGCCGGGAAUACUGCAGAGCUAGGGAGUGGGAGAGGUAGACGGUACUCGGUAGGAAGGGGUAAAAUCCUUUGAUCUAUUGAUGACCACCUGUGGCGAAGGCGGUCUACCAGAACACGUCCGACGGUGAGGGCUGAAAGCUGGGGGAGCAAACCGGAUUAGAUACCCGGGUAGUCCCAGCUGUAAACUAUGCAAACUCAGUGAUGCAUUGACUUGUGGUCAAUGCAGUGCUGCAGGGAAGCC
Molecule: ribosomal RNA, 805 nt
Filed under: uncultured archaeon
Lineage: Archaea
Description: bacterial SSU rRNA
Rfam family: Archaeal small subunit ribosomal RNA
Source: RNAcentral